RNAcentral lists this ribosomal RNA (795 nucleotides) under uncultured bacterium. RNAcentral's name for it is "bacterial SSU rRNA". It matches the Rfam family "Bacterial small subunit ribosomal RNA", at positions 8 to 796 of the family's 1533-position model. The record is from RNAcentral.
AGAGUUUGAUCCUGGCUCAGAUUGAACGCUGGCGGCAUGCCUUACACAUGCAAGUCGAACGGCAGCACGGACUUCGGUCUGGUGGCGAGUGGCGAACGGGUGAGUAAUACAUCGGAACAUGUCCUGUAGUGGGGGGAUAGCCCGGCGAAAGCCGGAUUAAUACCGCAUACGAUCUAAGGAUGAAAGCGGGGGACCUUCGGGCCUCGUGCUAUAGGGUUGGCCGAUGGCUGAUUAGCUAGUUGGUGGGGUAAAGGCCUACCAAGGCGACGAUCAGUAGCUGGUCUGAGAGGACGAUCAGCCACACUGGGACUGAGACACGGCCCAGACUCCUACGGGAGGCAGCAGUGGGGAAUUUUGGACAAUGGGCGCAAGCCUGAUCCAGCAAUGCCGCGUGUGUGAAGAAGGCCUUCGGGUUGUAAAGCACUUUUGUCCGGGAAGAAAACUCACCGACUAAUACUGGGUGAGGCUGACGGUACCGGAAGAAUAAGCACCGGCUAACUACGUGCCAGCAGCCGCGGUAAUACGUAGGGUGCGAGCGUUAAUCGGAAUGACUGGGCGUAAAGCGUGCGCAGGCGGGUUUGCUAAGACCGAUGUGAAAUCCCCGGGGCUCAACCUGGGAACUGCAUUGGUGACUGGCAGGCUAGAGUAUGGCAGAGGGGGGUAGAAUUCCCGUGUAGCAGUGAAAUGCGUAGAGAUGUGGAGGAAUACCGAUGGCGAAGGCAGCCCCCUGGGCCAAUACUGACGCUCAUGCACGAAAGCGUGGGGAGCAAACAGGAUUAGAUACCCCGGUAGUCC